AUGAACUGGCCGGGCACCGGGCCGGAAGGCCCUGGCAGGGCCGCAAGGCCACAUGCAGGCAGUGGCUCCUCCUCUAGCUGCUCGGAUCUACACCGUCGGUGGUCCGCCGACAGAUACACGAAUGGCGGGCGGUCGGGCUCGGUGCUAGCCCAAAAGCUCGUCGGCGCACCGUUGCCGCUCAUUAAGUGCGACCACUGCCCAAAGAAGGUUGUGCGCCGCGUGUCUACAACGCCGGAACAUCCCGGAUGGGUGUUCAUCAAGUGCUUAAACGAUGGGGUAUGUGCUUUUUUUAAGCUUCGGUUUGUGCUCUAG
RNAcentral lists this ribosomal RNA (312 nucleotides) under Triticum aestivum (bread wheat). RNAcentral describes it as "partial small subunit ribosomal RNA". The record is from RNAcentral. Lineage: Eukaryota; Viridiplantae; Streptophyta; Magnoliopsida; Poales; Poaceae.